RNAcentral lists this ribosomal RNA (2892 nucleotides) under Escherichia coli. RNAcentral's name for it is "bacterial LSU rRNA". It matches the Rfam family "Bacterial large subunit ribosomal RNA". Lineage: Bacteria; Pseudomonadati; Pseudomonadota; Gammaproteobacteria; Enterobacterales; Enterobacteriaceae. The record is from RNAcentral.
ACUAAGCGUACACGGUGGAUGCCCUGGCAGUCAGAGGCGAUGAAGGACGUGCUAAUCUGCGAUAAGCGUCGGUAAGGUGAUAUGAACCGUUAUAACCGGCGAUUUCCGAAUGGGGAAACCCAGUGUGUUUCGACACACUAUCAUUAACUGAAUCCAUAGGUUAAUGAGGCGAACCGGGGGAACUGAAACAUCUAAGUACCCCGAGGAAAAGAAAUCAACCGAGAUUCCCCAGUAGCGGCGAGCGAACGGGGAGCAGCCCAGAGCCUGAAUCAGUGUGUGUGUUAGUGGAAGCGUCUGGAAAGGCGCGCGAUACAGGGUGACAGCCCCGUACACAAAAAUGCACAUAUUGUGAGCUCGAUGAGUAGGGCGGGACACGUGGUAUCCUGUCUGAAUAUGGGGGGACCAUCCUCCAAGGCUAAAUACUCCUGACUGACCGAUAGUGAACCAGUACCGUGAGGGAAAGGCGAAAAGAACCCCGGCGAGGGGAGUGAAAAAGAACCUGAAACCGUGUACGUACAAGCAGUGGGAGCACGCUUAGGCGUGUGACUGCGUACCUUUUGUAUAAUGGGUCAGCGACUUAUAUUCUGUAGCAAGGUUAACCGAAUAGGGGAGCCGAAGGGAAACCGAGUCUUAACUGGGCGUUAAGUUGCAGGGUAUAGACCCGAAACCCGGUGAUCUAGCCAUGGGCAGGUUGAAGGUUGGGUAACACUAACUGGAGGACCGAACCGACUAAUGUUGAAAAAUUAGCGGAUGACUUGUGGCUGGGGGUGAAAGGCCAAUCAAACCGGGAGAUAGCUGGUUCUCCCCGAAAGCUAUUUAGGUAGCGCCUCGUGAAUUCAUCUCCGGGGGUAGAGCACUGUUUCGGCAAGGGGGUCAUCCCGACUUACCAACCCGAUGCAAACUGCGAAUACCGGAGAAUGUUAUCACGGGAGACACACGGCGGGUGCUAACGUCCGUCGUGAAGAGGGAAACAACCCAGACCGCCAGCUAAGGUCCCAAAGUCAUGGUUAAGUGGGAAACGAUGUGGGAAGGCCCAGACAGCCAGGAUGUUGGCUUAGAAGCAGCCAUCAUUUAAAGAAAGCGUAAUAGCUCACUGGUCGAGUCGGCCUGCGCGGAAGAUGUAACGGGGCUAAACCAUGCACCGAAGCUGCGGCAGCGACGCUUAUGCGUUGUUGGGUAGGGGAGCGUUCUGUAAGCCUGCGAAGGUGUGCUGUGAGGCAUGCUGGAGGUAUCAGAAGUGCGAAUGCUGACAUAAGUAACGAUAAAGCGGGUGAAAAGCCCGCUCGCCGGAAGACCAAGGGUUCCUGUCCAACGUUAAUCGGGGCAGGGUGAGUCGACCCCUAAGGCGAGGCCGAAAGGCGUAGUCGAUGGGAAACAGGUUAAUAUUCCUGUACUUGGUGUUACUGCGAAGGGGGGACGGAGAAGGCUAUGUUGGCCGGGCGACGGUUGUCCCGGUUUAAGCGUGUAGGCUGGUUUUCCAGGCAAAUCCGGAAAAUCAAGGCUGAGGCGUGAUGACGAGGCACUACGGUGCUGAAGCAACAAAUGCCCUGCUUCCAGGAAAAGCCUCUAAGCAUCAGGUAACAUCAAAUCGUACCCCAAACCGACACAGGUGGUCAGGUAGAGAAUACCAAGGCGCUUGAGAGAACUCGGGUGAAGGAACUAGGCAAAAUGGUGCCGUAACUUCGGGAGAAGGCACGCUGAUAUGUAGGUGAAGUCCCUCGCGGAUGGAGCUGAAAUCAGUCGAAGAUACCAGCUGGCUGCAACUGUUUAUUAAAAACACAGCACUGUGCAAACACGAAAGUGGACGUAUACGGUGUGACGCCUGCCCGGUGCCGGAAGGUUAAUUGAUGGGGUCAGCGCAAGCGAAGCUCUUGAUCGAAGCCCCGGUAAACGGCGGCCGUAACUAUAACGGUCCUAAGGUAGCGAAAUUCCUUGUCGGGUAAGUUCCGACCUGCACGAAUGGCGUAAUGAUGGCCAGGCUGUCUCCACCCGAGACUCAGUGAAAUUGAACUCGCUGUGAAGAUGCAGUGUACCCGCGGCAAGACGGAAAGACCCCGUGAACCUUUACUAUAGCUUGACACUGAACAUUGAGCCUUGAUGUGUAGGAUAGGUGGGAGGCUUGGAAGUGUGGACGCCAGUCUGCAUGGAGCCGACCUUGAAAUACCACCCUUUAAUGUUUGAUGUUCUAACGUGGACCCGUGAUCCGGGUUGCGGACAGUGUCUGGUGGGUAGUUUGACUGGGGCGGUCUCCUCCUAAAGAGUAACGGAGGAGCACGAAGGUUGGCUAAUCCUGGUCGGACAUCAGGAGGUUAGUGCAAUGGCAUAAGCCAGCUUGACUGCGAGCGUGACGGCGCGAGCAGGUGCGAAAGCAGGUCAUAGUGAUCCGGUGGUUCUGAAUGGAAGGGCCAUCGCUCAACGGAUAAAAGGUACUCCGGGGAUAACAGGCUGAUACCGCCCAAGAGUUCAUAUCGACGGCGGUGUUUGGCACCUCGAUGUCGGCUCAUCACAUCCUGGGGCUGAAGUAGGUCCCAAGGGUAUGGCUGUUCGCCAUUUAAAGUGGUACGCGAGCUGGGUUUAGAACGUCGUGAGACAGUUCGGUCCCUAUCUGCCGUGGGCGCUGGAGAACUGAGGGGGGCUGCUCCUAGUACGAGAGGACCGGAGUGGACGCAUCACUGGUGUUCGGGUUGUCAUGCCAAUGGCACUGCCCGGUAGCUAAAUGCGGAAGAGAUAAGUGCUGAAAGCAUCUAAGCACGAAACUUGCCCCGAGAUGAGUUCUCCCUGACUCCUUGAGAGUCCUGAAGGAACGUUGAAGACGACGACGUUGAUAGGCCGGGUGUGUAAGCGCAGCGAUGCGUUGAGCUAACCGGUACUAAUGAACCGUGAGGCUUAACC